GAACAGGAUAAUUAUUCAGUGUGGGUUUUCUAAUGUUCCUGUGCUUCUAGAGUACUGGGAUUUGUUUGGUGAGAAGAGCAAGAUGGCAGUAGUUUAGAAAAUGCGACCAGGACAGUAUUACUGAAGUGGGUUGAUCGUCUGUGGGACUUCACAAGCUGUGCUAUGACUUGGGGCUGCAGUAAGUGAUGCUGUCCAGCAGGGGGAGAUGUGUGUGUGCUAGGUCAUUGGUAAGUCAUGCCGAGGAGCUGAAGCUGUGAAACUCUUGUGUAGAGCCUCUGGAGGCCGUUUGUCCUUAAGCACAGGACUACAAUACAGUCGGCAAAUGAGAGGCUUCAUGGGGAUCUACAAUACUUUUGCAUCGACGCCUCCAGUAUGUCUUGGCACCUCUGUGGCUCUAGGUUUGGAGGCUCCUGAAGAAAGCUGUAUACCAGAAGGAGCCCAGUGUGUUCCUGUCUGUGGGAUACAGAAAUCCAGCUUGACCCUGCUGCACAGCCAGUGGGGAGACAUCCCUACACUGAGAUAACAGACAAAGGAGGGGUGUGCUGUGACGUCUGGAGCCCUCUUGAUCACAUGGGAGGAAUGGAGAUUGGCAGCUGAAGCUCUCCAACAGGAAGGGAAGAUUCUCAGCACCGCACCUGUGAUGUGGUGUGUAUGGGGCUCCUCUAAUCUUCUGUCAUGUCCUUGAGCCUGCUCUUGUAACAUCUCUAUCCUGUGUGUGCAAUAAAGUGAAGGUGUUGCUGGAA
Long non-coding RNA from Lepisosteus oculatus (spotted gar), 743 nucleotides. RefSeq lists it as uncharacterized. Lineage: Eukaryota; Metazoa; Chordata; Actinopteri; Semionotiformes; Lepisosteidae. The record is from RefSeq and is a predicted model, not a curated record.